AAUAUUGCGCAAUGGGCGAAAGCCUGACGCAGGGACGCCGCGUGGGGGAAGAAGGUUUUCGGAGAGUAAACCCCUUUUAGGAUGAAAGAUGGGGUGGUUUUCCACCCGGACGGUUCCUCCAGAAAAAGCCACGGCUUACUUCGUGCCAGCAGCCGGGGUAAUACGAAGGUGGCGAGCGUUGUUCUGAUUUAUUGAGCGUAAAGAGCACGUAGGCGGUUUAGUAAGCCCCUGGGGAAAGCUACGGGCUUAACCCAUAAAGGUCGAGGGGGACUGCUAAGAUAGAGGGCGGGAGAGGAGCGCGGAAUUUCCGGUGUAGCGGUGAAAUGCGUAGAUAUCGGGAAGAAGCCCCGUGGCGAAGGCGGCGCUCUGGAACGUCUCUGACGCUGAGGUGCGAAAGCGUGGGGAGCCAACCGGAUUAGAUACCCUGGUAGUUCACGCCGUA
Molecule: ribosomal RNA, 442 nt
Filed under: uncultured marine bacterium
Lineage: Bacteria
Description: bacterial SSU rRNA
Rfam family: Bacterial small subunit ribosomal RNA
Source: RNAcentral